Molecule: ribosomal RNA, 1380 nt
Filed under: uncultured bacterium
Lineage: Bacteria
Description: 16S ribosomal RNA
Rfam family: Bacterial small subunit ribosomal RNA
Source: RNAcentral
AGAGUUUGAUCCUGGCUCAGGACGAACGCUGGCGGCGUGCUUAACACAUGCAAGUCGAACGAUGAAGCCCAGCUUGCUGGGUGGAUUAGUGGCGAACGGGUGAGUAACACGUGAGUAACCUGCCCUUGACUCUGGGAUAAGCGCUGGAAACGGCGUCUAAUACCGGAUACGACAACCGAUGGCAUCGUCUGGUUGUGGAAAGAAUUUUGGUCAAGGGUGGACUCGCGGCCUAUCAGCUUGUUGGUGAGGUAAUGGCUCACCAAGGCGACGACGGGUAGCCGGCCUGAGAGGGUGACCGGCCACACUGGGACUGAGACACGGCCCAGACUCCUACGGGAGGCAGCAGUGGGGAAUAUUGCACAAUGGGCGAAAGCCUGAUGCAGCAACGCCGCGUGAGGGAUGACGGCCUUCGGGUUGUAAACCUCUUUUAGCAGGGAAGAAGCGAAAGUGACGGUACCUGCAGAAAAAGCACCGGCUAACUACGUGCCAGCAGCCGCGGUAAUACGUAGGGUGCAAGCGUUGUCCGGAAUUAUUGGGCGUAAAGAGCUCGUAGGCGGUUUGUCGCGUCUGCUGUGAAAUCCCGAGGCUCAACCUCGGGUCUGCAGUGGGUACGGGCAGACUAGAGUGCGGUAGGGGAGAUUGGAAUUCCUGGUGUAGCGGUGGAAUGCGCAGAUAUCAGGAGGAACACCGAUGGCGAAGGCAGAUCUCUGGGCCGUAACUGACGCUGAGGAGCGAAAGGGUGGGGAGCAAACAGGCUUAGAUACCCUGGUAGUCCACCCCGUAAACGUUGGGAACUAGAUGUGGGGACCAUUCCACGGUCUCCGUGUCGCAGCUAACGCAUUAAGUUCCCCGCCUGGGGAGUACGGCCGCAAGGCUAAAACUCAAAGGAAUUGACGGGGGCCCGCACAAGCGGCGGAGCAUGCGGAUUAAUUCGAUGCAACGCGAAGAACCUUACCAAGGCUUGACAUAUACGAGAACGCACUAGAGAUAGUGAACUCUUUGGACACUCGUAUACAGGUGGUGCAUGGUUGUCGUCAGCUCGUGUCGUGAGAUGUUGGGUUAAGUCCCGCAACGAGCGCAACCCUCGUUCUAUGUUGCCAGCACGUAAUGGUGGGAACUCAUGGGAUACUGCCGGGGUCAACUCGGAGGAAGGUGGGGACGACGUCAAAUCAUCAUGCCCCUUAUGUCUUGGGCUUCACGCAUGCUACAAUGGCCGAUACAAAGGGCUGCGAUACCGCAAGGUGGAGCGAAUCCCAAAAAGUCGGUCCCAGUUCGGAUUGAGGUCUGCAACUCGACCUCAUGAAGUCGGAGUCGCUAGUAAUCGCAGAUCAGCAACGCUGCGGUGAAUACGUUCCCGGGCCUUGCACACACCGCCCGUCA